Molecule: long non-coding RNA, 665 nt
Organism: Wyeomyia smithii (pitcher-plant mosquito)
Lineage: Eukaryota; Metazoa; Arthropoda; Insecta; Diptera; Culicidae
Exons: 3
Source: RefSeq, a predicted model, not a curated record
GCAUUACAGCAGAUACAUGUUGUUGGAAAUUGGUUUGCACAUUUUUUUCACAUAGAAAUAGUGAAGAAGGAUGUGUUAUAUUCUGAACAGGCUAAAUUUUACAUUGCAUCAAGACUGUCCAGGCAGAGUGAAGACCUGUCGGACGCUACUAACCACUCUGCCCAAAUUGCUUCAGCUCUUUGUUCAAUCCCCAGCUAAGAAUCAUAAAUCCUGCACUCUGCGCUCUGAGCUGCUGCUCGCUGACUGGCUGGUUAGGUAUACAACUGCUGAAUAAGCCCGAACCCGAACCGUGAAGAGCGGCCGCGUCGAUUUGUUGUCUCCGGCUAUAAAAUGCGGACACUUCGCAUAUAAUACACAUCAGGUUGGUGGUGGCUCGCGACCCAUAGCCGUUGGAGUCGAACGGACCGGGGGUAUGAAUGUAAUAAAUGCCAGGUUCUUUUAUUUUUCGAGUAGGUGGCGUCAACCUUGGCCAAAUAUCGAAUCGCGCGCUGACUGAUCUGUUGUAGGUUGUGCGAGUCAAUACAUAGUGCGGAGUGUUCUAGCUGAGAGUAUAUGUGCAAACAACGCGAGAUUAGUAUAGAUGAAGAAAAAAAAAACGCGAGAUUAGUGCGAGGAACGAUGAACAGUACAGAGCUCAGUGAUUCAUUCAUGGAUCGGGCCAAAGU